AUGAAAAAAUUGAGGAAAGUACUGAAGGGGUGGAACCUCAACUUUGAAGCUAGCAUGAGGACACAGAAAAAAGGAUUGCUCAAAGAAACUGACAUGCUAGAUAAAUUAGAAGAAGAUGAGGUGUUGAAUUGCUAUGACAGAGAAUAUAAGAAAACCUGUCGUGCUGAAUUGGAAUUUUUUUUGAAAGAAGAUGAAAUUAAAUGGUUGCAAAGGGCCCAUGAUACUGAGUUGCUGGAAGGGGAUUCAAAUACUAGAUACUAUCACAUUAAAUCUAAUGGCAGAUUGAGGAAAAAUAGGAUUAUUAAAUUGCAGCAAGAUGAAGGGGCAAUUGAGGGGCAAGAAAAUAUGGAAAACUAUAUUACUAAUUUCUAUAAGAAACUGUUUUGUGAACCAGAAAAUAACGCUCUUAGUAUAGACUCUAGUGGGAUGGAAACACUCACUGAGAAGGAGCAAAAUUUUCUCACAAAAAUUUUUACAAUGGAAGAGUUAAAGAAGGCAGUGUUUGGAAUGAAAAAAACAAAGCUGCUGGACCGGAUGGUUUUAAUAUUGAAUUCUAUCAACAUUAUGGGGAAUUGGUGA
Molecule: ribosomal RNA, 579 nt
Filed under: Triticum aestivum (bread wheat)
Lineage: Eukaryota; Viridiplantae; Streptophyta; Magnoliopsida; Poales; Poaceae
Description: partial small subunit ribosomal RNA
Source: RNAcentral